RNAcentral lists this long non-coding RNA (1122 nucleotides) under Carassius auratus (goldfish). RNAcentral describes it as "lncRNA (ENSCARG00000046825.1)". The record is from RNAcentral. Lineage: Eukaryota; Metazoa; Chordata; Actinopteri; Cypriniformes; Cyprinidae.
AUGGGAGCUCUAAUCGGAGCUAGAAUGGGACAUAAUCUGCUUCGUCCCUUGAACAUGGAGAAAAAUCAAAUUCACAUAUGGACAGAUUCAGUAAUUGUCUUACACUGGAUACAGAGUUCUGCACAGAAAUGGAAACCAUCUGUAGGUAAUCGAGUAGCUGAAAUACAGAAUCUCACAAACCCUGAAUCUUGGUCCCAUUGUAAUGGGAAAGACAAUCCCGCUGAUUUAGCCACUCGAGGAAAGAGCGUAGAUGAUCUCAUACAGAGUGAACUCUGGUGGUAUGGGCCGGCAUCUUUAGUUCCAGCUCACUUGGAAGAGCCUGAGCAAAAUUGUGUUGCGGAAAUGAACAUUGAACUGAGGUCUAAGUUUCAGGUCACCGUGCAGUUUGGUGGUGUUUCAACAACAGGACCUUUUUUGGAUUUAUCCAAAUUUAGCAGACUGAAGACAGUGUUGCGAAUAACUGCAUGGAUAAAGAGGUUCAUAACUAAUGCCCGAUCAAGAUGUAAAAUCCAAGGCGAGCUCACAGCAAAAGAACUUCUUGCAGCUGAAAUGUACUGGGUAAAGAUGACUCAGGAACAGAGUUUCAGCAAGGAAAUACAUUUGCUCAAACUAGGAAAAAUGGUUGACAAAGACUCAAAGAUCAAGGAUUUGAAACCCUUCUUAGAUGAAAAUGAACUCAUUAGUGUAGGUGGACGAUUACAACAGUCUUCAGAGUUCAGCUUCAGAGAAUGGCACCCAUGGGUGCUCCCCACAAAGCAAAGAUAUUCGGAAUUACUAGUUCAGAGUUAUCAUGAAAGAGUGAUGAAUUCAGGUGUAAGAGAUACACUGGUUCAGGUUAGAGAGAAAUAUUGGAUUUUGCGUGGCCGACAGCUUGUGAAGCAAAUAGUAGGACACUGUCAUGUUUGUAAUAGAUUGAAAGCCAAGGCAGCUCAGCAAACUACUGCACCUCUGCCAAAGGACAGAGUUACUGAAGCACCACCCUUUGAAGUCACAGGGGUCGAUUUUGCUGGCCCAUUAUAUGUUAAAUCGAAUGGUGUACCAAAAAAGGCAUAUAUUGCACUUUUUACAUGUGCUGUUACUCGGGCGAUACAUUUAGAGUUAGUGUCUGAUCAGACCACAUAG